AUUGAACGCUGGCGGCAUGCCUAACACAUGCAAGUCGAGCGGAUGAACGGGGAUUGUGCCCGGCUGCCGCGGGGGGCGGGCGAGUGAUGCACAGGUAUAUACCUGGUAGAGGGGGCUAACGUCCGUACAGGGGCGCUAAUAUAGCACACGCCCUGAGGGUGAAAGGGGGGGUUCUUUGGUGCCCACGCUAUCUGAUGUGCCUAGGUCGGAUUAGCUAGUUGGUGGGGUAAAGGCCUACCAAGGCGACGAUCCGUAACUGGUCUGAGAGGAUGAUCAGUCACACUGGAACUGAGACACGGUCCAGACUCCUACGGGAGGCAGCAGUGGGGAAUAUUGGACAAUGGGCGAAAGCCUGAUCCAGCAAUGCCGCGUGUGUGAAGAAGGUCUUCGGAUUGUAAAGCACUUUUAGUUGGGAAGAAAGACUGUGAAAUAAUACCUUCCUGUUUUGACGGUACCUAAAGAAUAAGCACCGGCUAACUACGUG
This 484-nucleotide ribosomal RNA is filed under the name uncultured bacterium. RNAcentral describes it as "partial 16S ribosomal RNA". It matches the Rfam family "Bacterial small subunit ribosomal RNA", at positions 30 to 507 of the family's 1533-position model. The record is from RNAcentral.